UAGAAAUCAACAUUAAAUGAUUGCGAGGGUGGAGGAAGCUGUUCCAGAUUCAGCAGCAGUUCUAUAGCGAGCUUCUCCAGCUCUGAUACCCAAGGCAGCAGCAUGAAACAUGGAACCUUUAAAGAAAACUGACAGCUGAGUCAUUUAAUUGAUGAGUCCAGUCCACUGACUCAAAAACCAGCAGAACUGUUAUAUGCAAAUUAGCUGCAAGAUGGCUGACGACUGGUUGAAUUACUGCUGAAAUCAAAACAGCUCAACUUCAUACUUCUCUGACCUGUUGAGAUGAUCUUUCCUGUUGACAUUAUUCAUAUAAAUACAUAGCAGAGUGUAAUGGAUUUCCAUUGGAGCCCAUUUUGGUUUUGUAUCACACCGUUUUGGGGGGCUAUAGUGCAUUGAACCAUUCUGCUUACCUGUCCCCCUGGAUAAUUCUACCUGGAACAAAGAGGUUACUGGAAAAGGAGGUGUUUGGUUUUUCAACAAAUGCAAAUACUCAAAAAUUUUCACAGAGAGAUGUUCAGAUGCAAAGUCAAUUGUUCAAUGAAAAAUAAUUUCAAUGGUAAAUUUUCAACCAGCCCUAAUUCUAACUUGGAAGGAACAUAGAAAUCAAUUGCAAGCCAUUGAAAAAUGGCAAAAAUCUCUAUCAUGUGGAUCAGCUACCUGUACAUACAAACACAUUCACCCAUUCAGGUUAAUCUAAACUGCCAGGGAAAGACCUGUUUUUCUCUAGGGAACACAACACUUAAAUAAAAUGGGAAGAUUUUAACAAGCAUUGAGCACUCAGCAUCCCGAAGCUUCAGGAUCUCUACCAAGCAUUUAUAAACCUCAACUACCCACCCAGAGAAAUAAAAAAGCAAAUUG
This is a long non-coding RNA of Pelodiscus sinensis (Chinese soft-shelled turtle), 858 nucleotides long. RefSeq lists it as uncharacterized. The record is from RefSeq and is a predicted model, not a curated record. Lineage: Eukaryota; Metazoa; Chordata; Testudines; Trionychidae.